AAAAUGGAACUCAGCUGUUCAUUGUCGGGUUGUCAACCUGAUACAGAGUGGAGCUAAUGUAGCUCUGCAGUGCCUCGCAGGAAUGGUCUGCCUACGGUGGAGCGUAUCAGUUCUACCACCAUUCAGUGGAGCUUAACUGCUCUGCAUCACCUUGCAGAAUGGUCUGCCUAUGAUGGAGCGCUUCAGUUCUAUCAUACCAUGGCUGUACCUGGUACACUCGUGUGCCUACGUGCAGUCUACCUUGACAGGGUGUCUUCUCGUCUGAUGCUCGCGGGGUGCUCGCAAUCUUGUGUUGCCAGUCCACUUUGUGAGUGACGAGUUGUGCUGCUUUUCAUGGCAGUGCUAGGCUCAAAGAGUGGUUUUAAGCUACGGCUGGAUCACCGCCCUGUGUGUUUAUUCAAAACCCUGUUUUACACUGUUCAAGUGGUUCAAAUUGACUUUGGUUGGUUUGAGCCAUUGCCCACAACAUGAGUCUGGCGUGAGCUGGUAUCAUGUUCAGUCGCCUGGCGGUGCCUUAUCCCGGGUAGGACUGAGAAACCUUCGUUCAUAUGGGAAACCAUUUGUUCGAGGUUAGUACAACUCUGAGCGGUGGAUCACUCGGCUCGUGUGUCGAUGAAGAGCGCAGCCAACUGUGUGAAUUAAUGCGAACUGCAUACUGCUUUGAGCAUCGACAUCUUGAACGCACAUUGCGGCCAUGGGUUAGCCCAUGGCCACGCCUGUCCGAGGGUCGGCUUAUAAAUUAUCACGACGCCCAACAAGUCGUGGCUUGGGUUUUGCCAGCUGACGUGAUUUCCCCUUUGGUACAUUUUGGGGUGUCAGAUCUAUGGCGUUUCCCUAAUGUUUCCGGUUGCAACCACAUGUCGGCUUUGUGUCGGUAUGGGGAUGUGGCUGCGGAGUCGUGGCUCAAUGGUUUAUGAUUUAUGCGCGCUCCGUCAGUUCAUUAUGCCCAGUGUUGUUAUCCGUAUCUUGCACUUCGGUGCAUUAUUCCUGACCUCGGAUCAGACGUGAAUACCCGCUGAACUUAAGCAUAUCACUAAGCGGAGGAAAAGAAACUAACAAGGAUUCCCUUAGUAACGGCGAGUGAACAGGGAAAAGCCCAGCACCGAAGCCUGUGGCCAUUUGGUUACUAGGCAAUGUGGUGUUUAGGUCAUUCCGCAGAGGUUCUGCUCCACCCUAAGUCCAUCAAUGAGUAUGGUAGUAUGGACAUGGCCCGCAGAGGGUGAAAGGCCCGUGGGGGUGGAGACUCGUUUGGACAGAGCCUCUCUGGUGAGACCUUGGAGUCGGGUUGUUUGUGAAUGCAGCCCAAAGUGGGUGGUAAACUCCAUCCAAGGCUAAAUACUAGCACGAGUCCGAUAGCGAACAAGUACCGUGAGGGAAAGUUGAAAAGUACUUUGAAGAGAGAGUAAACAGUGCGUGAAACCGCUCAGAGGUAAACGGGUGGAGUUGAACUGCAAGCUUUGAGAAUUCAGCUGAUGAGUGUGGUUUGGGCUUGGUCAAAUUGGUGAGCACCGGAGUCUGCGUAGUAGCAGGUCUUUGCCUUCGGGUGAGGAUGCGCGAUGCACUUAUCAAGUGUUGUGCGCUUCGGUUGUUCUUCGGCCUGCUCGUCAGUGCACUUUCUCUUAGUGGUCACCACGACCGGCACCGCUGUCUGGCUUCUUCGGUUAAACCGGUUUUGCUUAGUCUGCAAGGCUUUGCUUGAUCGGGAGGGCAGGUAGCUCGUUGACUUGCCUGUGGCUUGCUGCAGGCGUUUGGUUUUCGAGUGUUAUUAGCUGACCGGAGUAGUUCUGUGCAGUGUGUCGGAGACGGCGGCUUGUUGUGCGUGCAUGCGUGCCUGUUCUGCUGACUUGUCCGGGUUUGGUUAUUAUGUUGCCUGUUCAAGCAGGCCUGGUGAUGGCUCGGAUUCGUUCGGUGGGCGGUUGCGUGUGUUGCACAUUUCAGGGCCAAUAGUCUGUGGUGUAGUGGUAGACUUUCCACCCGACCCGUCUUGAAACACGGACCAAGGAGAGUAACAUGUGCGCGAGUCAUUGGGCGUUACGAAACCCACAGGCGCAGUGAAAGUAAAGGUCUGACUUGUUCAGGCUGAGGUGAGAUCCUGUCGUUUCCCACGCGUGGUACUACCAAGCAUCGAGCGGCAGGCGCAUCACCGGCCCGUCCCAUGGCAGUUGUCUUCGGACAGUUUUCGGUCGGGGCGGAGCAUGAGCGUACAUGUUGAGACCCGAAAGAUGGUGAACUAUGCUUGCGCAGGUUGAAGCCAGAGGAAACUCUGGUGGAGGACCGCAGCGAUUCUGACGUGCAAAUCGAUCGUCAAACGUGAGUAUAGGGGCGA
RNAcentral lists this ribosomal RNA (2326 nucleotides) under Paramacroderoides kinsellai. Its description in RNAcentral is "eukaryotic LSU rRNA". The stretch from base 989 to 2326 matches the Rfam family "Eukaryotic large subunit ribosomal RNA", at positions 1 to 926 of the family's 3401-position model. Lineage: Eukaryota; Metazoa; Platyhelminthes; Trematoda; Plagiorchiida; Macroderoididae. The record is from RNAcentral.